Molecule: long non-coding RNA, 2800 nt
Filed under: Homo sapiens (human)
Lineage: Eukaryota; Metazoa; Chordata; Mammalia; Primates; Hominidae
Description: HSALNT0027151
Source: RNAcentral
GGGUGAUGCUGCUUUUAGUCAAAGCAGCUACAAAACUCCGAGAGCAAGUCGGCCGUUUUCUACAUCUGGGCUGGCCGGGCUCCUUCUCGGAUUUAUCACAGGCGGGCAGCCGCUGACCCCUCCCUUUGCUAUUGGAGGUGGCUGCCCCGCCCCAGAGGCGCUCCUGCCACCCGCCCCUCCGACGGGGGGUGCCUCCAGCCACUUGUCCACAGCCUCGGGAGUCCCCACAGCAGAGGCAGCCGUGGGAGGAACAUGGAAACGGAGCAAGGGGAGGGACAGGAGCUCUCAGUCCUGCCUUCAGGAGCGCCCAGAGACACGCUUCACAGAACUGGGUCGGGGUGCUAGGGAUCCAGGUCAGGAGGGCCUCGCAGAUGCCCAGAAGGUUCGGAGGAAGCAGCUGCAGUUUCCGGAAUGUGCCAGGCUCCCUGGUGCUUCUGAGCGUCUGCAAGUGUGGCCCCCCUGCCUGAAACACCCCCACCCUCCUGCUGGUCUGGCCACCUCCCAGUCAGCCUUGUCCAGUUACCUUUUCCUGCCUCACUUCCCCACAGAGCGAGUGUGGCUCCUCUCAGCUCUCCCAGCCCCUCACCCUUGAGCCUCUAGUUUGGCAGCUGUCACACGAGCUACAGUCACGACUGGUCUGUCACCCAUUGCAGACGGGGCUCCUGGAAGGGUGAUGCUACGGCUCCCCCGGCUUCUAGCACGGGGCCCAGCACAGAAUGGGAGCUGAGGAAAUGUUUGCAGCAAGAGAUAAAACUGCUUCACAGUGUGUGUUAUGAGUUGAACUGUUUCCCCCAAAAAGAUAUGUUGAAGUCUUAUGACCUGAAUUGUGUUUCUCCAAAAUCCAUAUGUUGAAGCCCUAACCCCUGUACCUCAGGAUGUGACUGCAUUUGGAGAAAGGGCCUUUAAAGAAGUAGUGUAAUUAAGUUAAAAUGAGGUCAUGUGGGUGGGCUGUAAUCCCAUCUGCCUGGAGUCCUUACGAGAAGGGAAGAUAUGGACAUAGCCAUGCCCGGAGGAAAGGCCAGGUGAAGACACGGGGAGGAGACGUUCCUCUGCAAGCCAAGGAGAGAAGCCUCGGAAGAAACCAGCCCUGCGGACCCCUUGGUCGUGGACUUCCAGCUUCCAGAACUGGCAGAAAUGCAUUUCUAUUGUUUAAGCCCCUGGGUCUGCAGUACUUUGUUAUAGCAGUCCCGCAAACGAAUACAAAGUCCUAACCCCCGGUGCCUCCGAAGGACCCUUAUUUGGAACUAGGUCAUUGCCGAUGUGAUAAGUUAAGAUGAUGUCAUACUGGAGUAGGGUGGGCCCUGAUCCAAUAUGAAUGUAUCCUUAUAAAAAGGGGAAAUUUUGACACAGACACACACACAGGGAGACCGCCACGUGGACACGAAGGCAGAGAUUGAGGUGACGUGUCUAGAAGCCCAGGAAUGCCAAAGGUGGCCAGAAAACCACCCAGAGCUGGGGAGGCCUGGAAUAGAGUCUCCGUCACAGCCCCAGCAGGAACCAUCCCUGCUCACACCUUGAUCAGAGACUUUUGGCUUGCAGAACUGCAAGGCAGUGAAUUUCUAUUGUUUCAAGCCACCUAGUUUGUGGUACUUUGUUAGGGCAGCUCUGGCAAACUAACAGAAUAUGGGAGAUUAAAAUAUCAUCCCACUACAAGUUCAUCCCAACAAGGGGUUCUGUCGGCGGCAGCACAAAGCUACCAUGAAAACACCUAAUUAUGAGAAAUGAGCUCCCAGACCCCCCUGCCCGUCACUCCCUGCUCUUAUCAACUUCUGCCCCCUCCACUCACACGGACAACUGGUUUACCUGUCUGUGUCGCCCCCAAGCCAGCCACCCCCAGAACCAUGCUCUGCCCAUUGCUGGGCUCAGUAAAAACUCUCACUUGCGGCUAAAUCACCCAUCCAGAAUCAUACUCUGCUCCCUGAAAUCCCAGACCCAGGCUGCACUGAGCCCUUCCACACGGGUACAAGAGCACAUUUAGACCAAAUUUCAGCAGGUCCAGGAAGGCCCUGGAUGCCAAAGUUGGCACCUUCUGGUGCUUCCCGACAUGCCACCCGUGGCUGACUUGCAUUCUCUGCCUUGGCUGGUACCUGUCCAGCUGCACACCUGAUACGCCCCAGCUCUAAAUAAGGAGAGGAACUAAACCCAGCACUGCCCUGUGGCAAGCUGUGGAGAAGGAAUGGGAGCGGGUGGAGGCGUACCUUCCUGCUCCAUGGACGUGUGGUUAGGAAACACCAUUCCCGGCCAGGAGCAGAAGCUGGGCUGGGGUGAGCCGAAGUCUCGGCCAAGACUCCUUGACCUUUAGGGAGUGCCUGAGACGCUACACAGCCAACAAGCUGCUGGGCCAGGGACAGUUGCAGAACCAGGAUUGGCCUACUUUAGCCCCCUGCCCAGGGCUUGAAUCCCCUCUGCAGUCUCCCUGCUUAGGGGACACCACUGUGUUUGAACACCUCAGCUGAUGUGGGACUGCUGGCAUCUUUCCUGCCUGGACCUGAGAAUGGCUGGCCAAGGCUGAGGCUUGGAGUGGCUCAUUCCCUUCCAAACUUGCCCAUAUCCGUGCAGUGGGCCACAGUUCCUGUCUGGGAGCCCCCCACUCCUGCAGGUCCUCCUCAGCAGCCUUCCCCAUGGCUCUGUGUAAAAUUUCACCCCCACCCCUUUUUCCUGCCAUAUUUCUCUUCUUGUCACUUUCCACCCUCUAAGUCCUGUUUGUGCAUUUAACUGAUAGCUUUUGGUCACCGUCUGUCUCCCCCCGUAGAGAGGCCACCCUGGGAGGGAGGGUUUAUUUGGGGGCUCGGGGUUGCUA